AACGGCGUCGAGCGGCGGACGGGUGAGUAAUGCCUAGGAAAUUGCCCUGAUGUGGGGGAUAACCAUUGGAAACGAUGGCUAAUACCGCAUGAUGCCUACGGGCCAAAGAGGGGGACCUUCGGGCCUCUCGCGUCAGGAUAUGCCUAGGUGGGAUUAGCUAGUUGGUGAGGUAAGGGCUCACCAAGGCGACGAUCCCUAGCUGGUCUGAGAGGAUGAUCAGCCACACUGGAACUGAGACACGGUCCAGACUCCUACGGGAGGCAGCAGUGGGGAAUAUUGCACAAUGGGCGCAAGCCUGAUGCAGCCAUGCCGCGUGUGUGAAGAAGGCCUUCGGGUUGUAAAGCACUUUCAGUCGUGAGGAAGGCGGUGUAGUUAAUAGCUGCAUUAUUUGACGUUAGCGACAGAAGAAGCACCGGCUAACUCCGUGCCAGCAGCCGCGGUAAUACGGAGGGUGCGAGCGUUAAUCGGAAUUACUGGGCGUAAAGCGCAUGCAGGUGGUUUGUUAAGUCAGAUGUGAAAGCCCGGGGCUCAACCUCGGAAUUGCAUUUGAAACUGGCAGACUAGAGUACUGUAGAGGGGGGUAGAAUUUCAGGUGUAGCGGUGAAAUGCGUAGAGAUCUGAAGGAAUACCGGUGGCGAAGGCGGCCCCCUGGACAGAUACUGACACUCAGAUGCGAAAGCGUGGGGAGCAAACAGGAUUAGAUACCCUGGUAGUCCACGCCGUAAACGAUGUCUACUUGGAGGUUGUGGCCUUGAGCCGUGGCUUUCGGAGCUAACGCGUUAAGUAGACCGCCUGGGGAGUACGGUCGCAAGAUUAAAACUCAAAUGAAUUGACGGGGGCCCGCACAAGCGGUGGAGCAUGUGGUUUAAUUCGAUGCAACGCGAAGAACCUUACCUACUCUUGACAUCCAGAGAACUUUCCAGAGAUGGAUUGGUGCCUUCGGGAACUCUGAGACAGGUGCUGCAUGGCUGUCGUCAGCUCGUGUUGUGAAAUGUUGGGUUAAGUCCCGCAACGAGCGCAACCCUUAUCCUUGUUUGCCAGCGAGUAAUGUCGGGAACUCCAGGGAGACUGCCGGUGAUAAACCGGAGGAAGGUGGGGACGACGUCAAGUCAUCAUGGCCCUUACGAGUAGGGCUACACACGUGCUACAAUGGCGCAUACAGAGGGCAGCCAACUUGCGAAAGUGAGCGAAUCCCAAAAAGUGCGUCGUAGUCCGGAUUGGAGUCUGCAACUCGACUCCAUGAAGUCGGAAUCGCUAGUAAUCGUGGAUCAGAAUGCCACGGUGAAUACGUUCCCGGGCCUUGUACACACCGCCCGUCACACCAUGGGAGUGGGCUGCAAAAGAAGUAGGUAGUUUA
Molecule: ribosomal RNA, 1357 nt
Filed under: Vibrio parahaemolyticus
Lineage: Bacteria; Pseudomonadati; Pseudomonadota; Gammaproteobacteria; Vibrionales; Vibrionaceae
Description: bacterial SSU rRNA
Rfam family: Bacterial small subunit ribosomal RNA
Source: RNAcentral